Desmophyllum pertusum is the source of this 80-nucleotide non-coding RNA. The record is from the annotation of a GenBank genome assembly. Lineage: Eukaryota; Metazoa; Cnidaria; Anthozoa; Scleractinia; Caryophylliidae.
GGCUUCAUAGCUCAGUGGUAGAGCGUUUGCACCGGAAAAUUGAAUCGCAAUGGUCAUGGGUUCGAAUCCCGUUGGAGCCU